This 505-nucleotide ribosomal RNA is filed under the name uncultured bacterium. RNAcentral describes it as "partial 16S ribosomal RNA". It matches the Rfam family "Bacterial small subunit ribosomal RNA", at positions 28 to 507 of the family's 1533-position model. The record is from RNAcentral.
GACGAACGCUGGCGGCGUGCCUAAUACAUGCAAGUAGAACGCACAGUUUAUACCGUAGCUUGCUACACCAUAGACUGUGAGUUGCGAACGGGUGAGUAACGCGUAGGUAACCUGCCUGGUAGCGGGGGAUAACUAUUGGAAACGAUAGCUAAUACCGCAUAAUAUUAAUUAUUGCAUGAUAAUUAAUUAAAAGGUGCAAUUGAACCACUACCAGAUGGACCUGCGUUGUAUUAGCUAGUAGGUGAGGUAACGGCUCACCUAGGCGACGAUACAUAGCCGACCUGAGAGGGUGAUCGGCCACACUGGGACUGAGACACGGCCCAGACUCCUACGGGAGGCAGCAGUAGGGAAUCUUCGGCAAUGGACGAAAGUCUGACCGAGCAACGCCGCGUGAGGGAAGAAGGUUUUCGGAUCGUAAAGCUCUGUUGUAAGAGAAGAACGGGUGUGAGAGUGGAAAGUUCACACUGUGACGGUAUCUUACCAGAAAGGGACGGCUAACUACGUG